CAGAAUAUCUUGAAGAGCAGGCCUCCGUGUGUGGCGAAGAAUGGGGCAAAGACAAGUGAUUCAACGGCCAUCAGUUUGAUGAGGAUGUUAAGUGAUGGUCCUGAUGUAUCCUUCAAUGGGUCCCCAAUGGUGUCACCAAUAACAGCUGCCUUGUGUGGAUCUGAUCCUUUAGGGCCAAGAGAUCUUGCAUGCUCAGAAACACCAGCCUGUUUCCAACAGAACAAUGCAGGGCAUGUUAGCAUUACAAGAUUUCAGAAUGCCAAAUUACAAAUGAAGGAGUGAUUGCGCCCGCUUAAUGUAUACCUCAAUAUAUUUCUUGGCAUUAUCCCAUGCACCACCAGUGUUGGAGGCAGAGAUGGCAAUCUAAAAUAUUGACACGGGAGAAAUAAAUGUUCAGACACGUUAGCAGGACUCCUAAACCUCAAUAAAUAUAAUCUCAAGUGUAUGUAACUAGAGAAAUUCUGUUAACCAGUAGCCUUUACCUGGACACCAGACACAAGGGACCCAGCAAGGACACCAGAGAGGGUUUCAACACCAAAAAAGAUCCCAACAAUAAGGGGUGUGAGCAUGACAAGUGCACCAGGUGCGAUCAUCUCCUUGAUGGAAGCAUCGGUAGAGAUCUUGACACAGGUUGCAUAGUCAGGCUUGGCAGUGCCUUCCAUCAAGCCAGGGAUGGUGUUGAAUUGCCUGC
RNAcentral lists this long non-coding RNA (691 nucleotides) under Populus trichocarpa (black cottonwood). RNAcentral's name for it is "long non-coding RNA (PTRI_LNC004080)". The record is from RNAcentral. Lineage: Eukaryota; Viridiplantae; Streptophyta; Magnoliopsida; Malpighiales; Salicaceae.